UGGCCGGUAGCUCAGCGGGUAGAGCGCACUCUUGAUAAGGGUGAGGUGGAAGGUUCGAGCCCUUCCCGGCCAAUCA
Molecule: transfer RNA, 76 nt
Filed under: Pseudomonas sp.
Lineage: Bacteria; Pseudomonadati; Pseudomonadota; Gammaproteobacteria; Pseudomonadales; Pseudomonadaceae
Also listed under: 1 other name
Description: tRNA-Ile
Rfam family: tRNA
About the family: Transfer RNA (tRNA) molecules are approximately 80 nucleotides in length.
Source: RNAcentral